GCCUUCGUGGUGUAAUGGUCAGCACACUCGGCGAGCAAUCGAGAGGCCCAGGUUCGAAUCCAGGCGAGGGAA
Stegodyphus dumicola is the source of this 72-nucleotide non-coding RNA. The record is from the annotation of a RefSeq genome assembly. NCBI's taxonomy places the organism in Eukaryota, Metazoa, Arthropoda, Arachnida, Araneae, Eresidae.